Long non-coding RNA from Condylura cristata (star-nosed mole), 233 nucleotides. RefSeq lists it as uncharacterized. Lineage: Eukaryota; Metazoa; Chordata; Mammalia; Eulipotyphla; Talpidae. The record is from RefSeq and is a predicted model, not a curated record. The transcript has 3 exons.
AUGACUCACACUUACAGCUCCGGCCCGCCUGAGCGUCACAGUCAUCAGCUUCUGUGGACUAGUUGAAAGGCACCUCCGUCUCCACGCCACCACCUUCUCCCUUGCCACCUCGUCUGUCACCUGGAUGACGUCAGUAGGCUCCUCACAGCUUCCACCCUCCAGUAUGCCAGGUUCUCUCCAGAUAAAAGUAAAACCCCAGGGCCCUCCCUGAUGGCUCAGCGGGUUAAAGCACA